UGAAAGUGUUACAAAAGAGUUACAAGAAAUUAGCUUAUAAGCUUACACAAGAACAAGACCUAAUUUCUACCCAUUUUGUGUCACCCACACUCUCAAUAAUGAAUCCUAAGAGAAAACACAAAAAGAAGCUUUUUGAUCCUUCCAAUGGUGAAAUCUCACUACCCAAGGUGUUUACAAUCUUUAUAUCUAAUCCUAGAGUACAAUGCAAAAAUAAUUUGUAAACCCUAAACCUAAUCCAUUUUGGCGGUAACUUUUCAAAUUUGAUUAUCAUAAGUGCAUGGUUACAAGAGAUACCUCCCAACCAAUCCCUACGACUAAUACCUCAAAUUCGUCCUUGAAUUUUGAAAAAUCGGCAAAUUUCGUCCCUGAAUUUUGCGAAAUAUCAAAUUAGUCCCUGAAUUUUACAGACGUCCAUCAAUUCACUCCCUCCGUCCAAAAUGUCUGUUAGUAGUGAUGAUGUGGCUUCUUGCAUGUUGUGUUGUCUUGUACACGUGUCAGCAAGUCAGCCACGUGUAAGAGACUAAAUUGAUGGAAAUGGUCAAAAUUCGAUAUUUAACAUUUCAGUCUCUUUUUUCCUGUGUUUUCAAUUAUACCCCUCUAUUACCAUUCUCUUUCAUCCUCACAUUUUCACUCAGAAGCAUCAAACAUGUCCCUAGCCUUUCACCUUCCCGCCUAAAUUGUCACCCUCUUCACUUCACCAAAAUCAUCAUCAUCACCGGCGAUCAUCCUUGGAAAAGAUUCGGUUUUGAAGUCAGAUUUCGUGGUUUGUCAAGGAUGGAAGACUCUAUUACGGUAAUCUUGCAUCACGGUGGUUGUUUAGAGCGAGAUGAGUAUUGAAGGCUACAAUACGUUCGUGGUGAGUUUUGUGUUUGGGAGAAAAUGGAUGUUGAUCAGUUAUGCUUGUGGGACAUUGAGAAGAUGGUGAAACGUUCAAGAGGUUACUUUAAGGUAUCUAAAAUGUGGUAUUGGAAGCCGUAUGAAGGUGUUGAAGAUGAUAUAAACAUAUGCUUGACUCCUUAACAACUGAUAAAGACUUAUGUGAUAUGGUACAAGUUGCAAGGGCAAAUGGAAAUGAAGUGGAAAUAUAUGCACAACAUGUGGUGGAUACGGAAUAGGUUGAAAUUGUGCCAUUAAGAAAUGAAGAGAGGGAGGAACUUGAGAGAGUAAUGGAAGAGUCUUUGAAAAGUAUGGGCAAAAGGAGGAUUAACAAGUGAAGAUGAACCAAUUAAUAUUAUGGAGAUUGAUAUUUUAAGUGCUGAGGAAAGAAAUGUGGUGGACUGUUUGGUUGCUAGUGUGCAAAACAGAGUAUAUAAUCAAGAGGAAAAUGUUAAUGGUACUCAAGGAAUGAAGGAUAUGGCUUGUGAUACUCAAGGAAAUGAUGAAUGUAACGCCCUAUUUUAAAUAUUUAAUUAUUUUAAUGA
Molecule: long non-coding RNA, 1421 nt
Organism: Medicago truncatula (barrel medic)
Lineage: Eukaryota; Viridiplantae; Streptophyta; Magnoliopsida; Fabales; Fabaceae
Exons: 2
Source: RefSeq, a predicted model, not a curated record